This 484-nucleotide ribosomal RNA is filed under the name uncultured bacterium. Its description in RNAcentral is "partial 16S ribosomal RNA". It matches the Rfam family "Bacterial small subunit ribosomal RNA", at positions 31 to 507 of the family's 1533-position model. The record is from RNAcentral.
AGGGAAAGCUGGCGGCAUGCCUAACACAUGCAAGUCGAACGGCAGCGCGGGGGCAACCCUGGCGGCGAGUGGCGGACGGGUGAGGAAUGCAUAGGAAUCUGCCCGGUUGUGGGGGAUAACGUAGGGAAACUUACGCUAAUACCGCAUACGACCUUCGGGUGAAAGUGGGGGACCUUCGGGCCUCACGCGAUCGGAUGAGCCUAUGCCCGAUUAGCUAGUUGGCGGGGUAAGAGCCCACCAAGGCGACGAUCGGUAGCUGGUCUGAGAGGAUGAUCAGCCACACUGGGACUGAGACACGGCCCAGACUCCUACGGGAGGCAGCAGUGGGGAAUAUUGGACAAUGGGCGCAAGCCUGAUCCAGCAAUGCCGCGUGUGUGAAGAAGGCCUUCGGGUUGUAAAGCACUUUUGUUCGGGAAGAAAUCCGUGUGGUUAAUACCCGUACGGGAUGACGGUACCGAAAGAAUAAGCACCGGCUAACUUCGUG